GGAUGCGAGGGCGAUCUGGCUGUGAAGUCUGUCACCCCAUCGAUCACCAGGGUUGAUUCGGGUGAUCUGGCUGGCUAGGUAGGUGUCCCCUUCCUCCCUCACUGCUCCAUGUGUGUCCCUCCCGAAGCUGCACACUUGGUCAAAGAGGACAGCAAUCCCCGAGAGACGAGGACCAGUCUUCAGUCAAGGGUAUACGAGUAGCUGCACUCCCCUGCUAGAACCUCCAUACGAGCUCUCAAAUUAUCUCUAAUUUCUCAAUUUUUCUAUAGUGAAUUGUGUGUUACCUUUGUAGCAAAAAAUUGUAAAUAACAAUAAAGAUUACUGC
This 325-nucleotide small nuclear RNA is filed under the name Mandrillus leucophaeus (drill). Its description in RNAcentral is "7SK RNA (ENSMLEG00000022719.1)". It matches the Rfam family "7SK RNA", at positions 1 to 288 of the family's 331-position model. Rfam says of the family: 7SK was discovered as an abundant small nuclear RNA in the mid-70s but a possible function has only recently been suggested. Two independent studies have found that 7SK RNA binds the CDK9/cyclin T complex (known as elongation factor P-TEFb). The record is from Rfam by way of RNAcentral. Lineage: Eukaryota; Metazoa; Chordata; Mammalia; Primates; Cercopithecidae.